This 274-nucleotide ribosomal RNA is filed under the name uncultured bacterium. RNAcentral's name for it is "partial 16S ribosomal RNA". It matches the Rfam family "Bacterial small subunit ribosomal RNA", at positions 523 to 796 of the family's 1533-position model. The record is from RNAcentral.
AUACGGAGGGUGCAAGCGUUACUCGGAAUCACUGGGCGUAAAGGAUGCGUAGGCGGAUAAUCAAGUCAAAAGUGAAAUCCCACGGCUUAACCGUGGAACUGCUUUCGAAACUGGUUAUCUAGAAUAUGGAAGAGGCAGAUGGAAUUAGUGGUGUAGGGGUAAAAUCCGUAGAGAUCACUAGGAAUACCGAUUGCGAAGGCGAUCUGCUGGGACAUUAUUGACGCUGAGGCAUGAAAGCGUGGGGAGCAAACAGGAUUAAAUACCCCAGUAGUCC